UACGAAGGGGGCUAGCGUUGCUCGGAAUCACUGGGCGUAAAGCGCACGUAGGCGGAUUGUUAAGUCAGGGGUGAAAUCCUGGAGCUCAACUCCAGAACUGCCUUUGAUACUGAGGAUCUUGAGUUCGGGAGAGGUGAGUGGAACUGCGAGUGUAGAGAUGAAAUUCGUAGAUAUUCGGAAGAACACCAGUGGCGAAGGCGACUCACUGGACACGUAUUGACGCUGAGGUGCGAAAGCGUGGGGAGCAAACAGGG
Molecule: ribosomal RNA, 254 nt
Filed under: uncultured bacterium
Lineage: Bacteria
Description: partial 16S ribosomal RNA
Rfam family: Bacterial small subunit ribosomal RNA
Source: RNAcentral